RNAcentral lists this transfer RNA (65 nucleotides) under Papilio bianor (Chinese peacock). RNAcentral describes it as "tRNA-Ile". Lineage: Eukaryota; Metazoa; Arthropoda; Insecta; Lepidoptera; Papilionidae. The record is from RNAcentral.
AAAUAAAGUGCCUGAUUAAAGGAUUAUUCGGAUAGAGUAAAUUAAGUAGAACUCUACCUUUAUUA